This 273-nucleotide long non-coding RNA is filed under the name Brassica napus (rape). RNAcentral describes it as "long non-coding RNA (BNAP_LNC018839)". The record is from RNAcentral. Lineage: Eukaryota; Viridiplantae; Streptophyta; Magnoliopsida; Brassicales; Brassicaceae.
CUAUCACACCUAUCAGCAGUACUACUCAAGCAUACAGAAUCAAUAGGGUUAGAGGUCUUAGCUAUUUGAAGAUGAUAUAACUGAUUCUUGCUGUCCCCUCUACCAAUAACUCUCCCAGUCUUCAAAUCUUGAAACUCAACUUCAUUUGGCCUGAACACUACUUGACAAUCAAGAUCAACUGUGGCCUUCUUCACUGAUAUCAAAUUUGACGUGAACUGAGGCAGAUAGAAAGCAGGUGAGUUCUUCUCAAACAGCUUGAGGUUUCCCACUCCU